RNAcentral lists this ribosomal RNA (120 nucleotides) under Oreochromis aureus. Lineage: Eukaryota; Metazoa; Chordata; Actinopteri; Cichliformes; Cichlidae. The record is from RNAcentral.
GCUUACGGCCAUACCACCCUGAACACGCCCGAUCUCGUCUGAUCUUGGAAGCUAAGCAGGGUUGGGCUUGGUUAGUACUUGAAUGGGAGACCGCCUGGGAAAUACCAGGUGCUGUGAGCU